AAUCCAUAGGUUAAUGAGGCGAACCGGGGGAACUGAAACAUCUAAGUACCCCGAGGAAAAGAAAUCAACCGAGAUUCCCCCAGUAGCGGCGAGCGAACGGGGAGGAGCCCAGAGCCUGAAUCAGCAUGUGUGUUAGUGGAAGCGUCUGGAAAGGCGCGCGAUACAGGGUGACAGCCCCGUACACAAAAGCGCAUGUGCUGUGAGCUCGAUGAGUAGGGCGGGACACGUGGUAUCCUGUCUGAAUAUGGGGGGACCAUCCUCCAAGGCUAAAUACUCCUGACUGACCGAUAGUGAACCAGUACCGUGAGGGAAAGGCGAAAAGAACCCCGGCGAGGGGAGUGAAAAAGAACCUGAAACCGUGUACGUACAAGCAGUGGGAGCACCCUUCGGGGUGUGACUGCGUACCUUUUGUAUAAUGGGUCAGCGACUUAUAUUCUGUAGCAAGGUUAACCGUAUAGGGGAGCCGGAGGGAAACCGAGUCUUAAUUGGGCGUUAAGUUGCAGGGUAUAGACCCGAAACCCGGUGAUCUAGCCAUGGGCAGGUUGAAGGUUGGGUAACACUAACUGGAGGACCGAACCGACUAAUGUUGAAAAAUUAGCGGAUGACCUGUGGCUGGGGGUGAAAGGCCAAUCAAACCGGGAGAUAGCUGGUUCUCCCCGAAAGCUAUUUAGGUAGCGCCUCGUGAAUUCAUCUCCGGGGGUAGAGCACUGUUUCGGCUAGGGGGCCAUCCCGGCUUACCAACCCGAUGCAAACUGCGAAUACCGGAGAAUGUUAUCACGGGAGACACACGGCGGGUGCUAACGUCCGUCGUGAAGAGGGAAACAACCCAGACCGCCAGCUAAGGUCCCAAAGUCAUGGUUAAGUGGGAAACGAUGUGGGAAGGCCCAGACAGCCAGGAUGUUGGCUUAGAAGCAGCCAUCAUUUAAAGAAAGCGUAAUAGCUCACUGGUCGAGUCGGCCUGCGCGGAAGAUGUAACGGGGCUAAACCAUGCACCGAAGCUGCGGCAGCGAACGUAUCACCCAAGACAACUUUACGGAGUUGACGAUUGACGGAGCGAAGCGACGUCAAAGCGUUCAUUAAAGUCGAGUUGGCUUAGGGAUACGUUCGUUGGGUAGGGGAGCGUUCUGUAAGCCUGUGAAGGUGUGUCGUGAGGCAUGCUGGAGGUAUCAGAAGUGCGAAUGCUGACAUAAGUAACGAUAAAGCGGGUGAAAAGCCCGCUCGCCGGAAGACCAAGGGUUCCUGUCCAACGUUAAUCGGGGCAGGGUGAGUCGACCCCUAAGGCGAGGCCGAAAGGCGUAGUCGAUGGGAAACGGGUUAAUAUUCCCGUACUUGGUGUUACUGCGAAGGGGGGACGGAGAAGGCUAUGUUGGCCGGGCGACGGUUGUCCCGGUUUAAGCGUGUAGGUGUGUGUUCCAGGUAAAUCCGGUUCACUUUAACACUGAGGCGUGACGACGAGGCACUACGGUGCUGAAGCAACAAAUGCCCUGCUUCCAGGAAAAGCCUCUAAGCAUCAGGUAACACGAAAUCGUACCCCAAACCGACACAGGUGGUCAGGUAGAGAAUACCAAGGCGCUUGAGAGAACUCGGGUGAAGGAACUAGGCAAAAUGGUGCCGUAACUUCGGGAGAAGGCACGCUGACACGUAGGUGAAGUGAUUUACUCA
This 1662-nucleotide ribosomal RNA is filed under the name Salmonella enterica subsp. enterica serovar Typhimurium. RNAcentral describes it as "partial 23S ribosomal RNA". It matches the Rfam family "Bacterial large subunit ribosomal RNA", at positions 161 to 1773 of the family's 2925-position model. The record is from RNAcentral. Lineage: Bacteria; Pseudomonadati; Pseudomonadota; Gammaproteobacteria; Enterobacterales; Enterobacteriaceae.